GCUGACGACCGGCGAACGGGUGCGUAACGCGUAUAGAAUCUGCCUUGUACAGGAGGAUAGCCUUUAGAAAUGAAGAUUAAUACUCCAUAAUGUUGAGAGAUGGCAUCAUCUUUUAAUUAAAGAUUUAUCGGUACAAGAUGACUAUGCGUCCUAUUAGCUAGAUGGUAAGGUAACGGCUUACCAUGGCAACGAUAGGUAGGGGGUCUGAGAGGAUUAUCCCCCACACUGGUACUGAGACACGGACCAGACUCCUACGGGAGGCAGCAGUGAGGAAUAUUGGUCAAUGGAGGCAACUCUGAACCAGCCAUGCCGCGUGCAGGAAGACUGCCCUAUGGGUUGUAAACUGCUUUUAUACAGGAAGAAACUUAGUUACGUGUAACUAACUGACGGUACUGUAAGAAUAAGCACCGGCUAACUCCGUGCCAGCAGCCGCGGUAAUACGGAGGGUGCAAGCGUUAUCCGGAAUCAUUGGGUUUAAAGGGUCCGCAGGCGGUCAAUUAAGUCAGAGGUGAAAUCCCAUAGCUUAACUAUGGAACUGCCUUUGAUACUGGUUGACUUGAGUUAUAC
This 567-nucleotide ribosomal RNA is filed under the name marine sediment bacterium BB0608_2216_6.2_2S0. RNAcentral describes it as "bacterial SSU rRNA". It matches the Rfam family "Bacterial small subunit ribosomal RNA", at positions 87 to 652 of the family's 1533-position model. The record is from RNAcentral.